CUGGUUGAAAAAUGUUGGUUCUUUAAAUCAUUGCAAUUAUUUGCUUAGAAGAAUGUAUUUAUUUGAUUGAAAUACAUGUUUCCUGAUGUCUUGCUUGUAUUUCUGUUCAGGUGUUCGGAAAUGGGUCUUAAAGCCCUGGAAUGUGUGCAUAAGAAAUGAAAGAAGGAAAAUAAUUUGCCAGAUUUGUGGGUGGAGGCACUUAUAUUUGUGGGUGGAGGCACUUUGAUAAGAAUCUGGUUGUUCAGGAUGUAUUGUAUAUUGGUUAUAUCAUGGUUUGAAAGCUUCAUAUAUUAUUUGUGGCUUUUGGUUAUAAAUAAAUGGUUAUAGUUUAUCCAUCUUAACCUCUUUCAAUAAAAG
Molecule: non-coding RNA, 357 nt
Organism: Pelobates cultripes (western spadefoot toad)
Lineage: Eukaryota; Metazoa; Chordata; Amphibia; Anura; Pelobatidae
Source: the annotation of a GenBank genome assembly